ACUGGACAAGAUUAAAAUGCUCUUCUGUCACUGUAACAGUUCACAUCGGCUCUGACAGCAGAGCAUUUUAACUUUGUCAAGC
Cricetulus griseus (Chinese hamster) is the source of this 82-nucleotide non-coding RNA. Lineage: Eukaryota; Metazoa; Chordata; Mammalia; Rodentia; Cricetidae. The record is from Rfam.